GGGCGAUUAGCUCAGUGGGAGAGCGCUACCUUGACACGGUAGAGGCCACUGGUUCAAUCCCAGUAUCGCCCACCA
RNAcentral lists this transfer RNA (75 nucleotides) under Mycobacterium tuberculosis. RNAcentral's name for it is "tRNA-Val(gac)". It matches the Rfam family "tRNA". Rfam says of the family: Transfer RNA (tRNA) molecules are approximately 80 nucleotides in length. Their secondary structure includes four short double-helical elements and three loops (D, anti-codon, and T loops). Further hydrogen bonds mediate the characteristic L-shaped molecular structure. tRNAs have two regions of fundamental functional importance: the anti-codon, which is responsible for specific mRNA codon recognition, and the 3' end, to which the tRNAs corresponding amino acid is attached (by aminoacyl-tRNA synthetases). tRNAs cope with the degeneracy of the genetic code in two manners: having more than one tRNA (with a specific anti-codon) for a particular amino acid; and 'wobble' base-pairing, i.e. permitting non-standard base-pairing at the 3rd anti-codon position. RNAcentral also lists the same sequence under 95 other names. The record is from RNAcentral. Lineage: Bacteria; Bacillati; Actinomycetota; Actinomycetes; Mycobacteriales; Mycobacteriaceae.